AGAGUUUGAUCCUGGCUCAGAGCGAACGCUGGCGGCAGGCCUAAUACAUGCAAGUCGAGCGCCGUAGCAAUACGGAGCGGCAGACGGGAGAGUAACACGUGGGAACGUACCCUUCAGUUCGGAACAACCCAGGGAAACUUGGGCUAAUACCGGAUACGUCCGUAAGGAGAAAGAUUUAUCGCUGAAGGAUCGGCCCGCGUCUGAUUAGCUUGUUGGUGAGGUAACGGCUCACCAAGGCGACGAUCAGUAGCUGGUCUGAGAGGAUGAUCAGCCUCACUGGGACUGAGACACGGCCCAGACUCCUACGGGAGGCAGCAGUAGGGAAUAUUGGACAAUGGGCGCAAGCCUGAUCCAGCCAUGCCGCGUGGGUGAUGAAGGCCCUAGGGUUGUAAAGCCCUUUCGGCGGGGAAGAUAAUGACGGUACCCGCAGAAGAAGCCCCGGCUAACUUCGUGCCAGCAGCCGCGGUAAUACGAAGGGGGCUAGCGUUGCUCGGAAUCACUGGGCGUAAAGCGCACGUAGGCGGCUUUUUAAGUCAGGGGUGAAAUCCUGGAGCUCAACUCCAGAACUGCCUUUGAUACUGAGAAGCUUGAGUCCGGGAGAGGUGAGUGGAACUGCGAGUGUAGAGGUGAAAUUCGUAGAUAUUCGCAAGAACACCAGUGGCGAAGGCGGCUCACUGGCCCGGUACUGACGCUGAGGUGCGAAAGCGUGGGGAGCAAACAGGAUUAGAUACCCUAGUAGUCC
This 742-nucleotide ribosomal RNA is filed under the name uncultured bacterium. RNAcentral describes it as "bacterial SSU rRNA". It matches the Rfam family "Bacterial small subunit ribosomal RNA", at positions 8 to 796 of the family's 1533-position model. The record is from RNAcentral.